RNAcentral lists this small nucleolar RNA (133 nucleotides) under Suricata suricatta (meerkat). Its description in RNAcentral is "Small nucleolar RNA SNORA41 (ENSSSUG00005016801.1)". It matches the Rfam family "Small nucleolar RNA SNORA41". From Rfam's summary of the family: ACA41 is a member of the H/ACA class of snoRNA that guide the sites of modification of uridines to pseudouridines. The record is from Rfam by way of RNAcentral. Lineage: Eukaryota; Metazoa; Chordata; Mammalia; Carnivora; Herpestidae.
UUACGCAGCUACUGGUCUGCAGCUGUGUUUUUAUGGUAGCAGUUGUGGCAUACCUCUGUGGGAAAGAAACUGUUACAUGGUUAGACACCUCUUUCCUAGCAAAAUAGAAGUGGGCAUAUGUGUGACAACAGAA